This 1195-nucleotide transfer RNA is filed under the name Rattus norvegicus (Norway rat). RNAcentral's name for it is "uncharacterized LOC102555506". The stretch from base 470 to 542 matches the Rfam family "tRNA". The record is from RNAcentral. Lineage: Eukaryota; Metazoa; Chordata; Mammalia; Rodentia; Muridae.
AAGGAGGGGUGUGUUUUUAUAAUCAAAUCAUCUUUUACCCUAAAAUAAUUGUAUGACUCUGACCUUGUAGUUUAGACAACAGUUGAAAAUGAUUUGUGCUCCUUCAUCUCUAUCAUGUAACAAUAAAAGUGUCUGAAGUUUUGUGUUUGUGGCCAGGUAAUUAAAGUGAUGGACUCUGGGUUAUUGGGCUUUUUCAGCAGCAGAUUCGAUUCCUACACAUUGAAGUUACAUUUUUACUGAUUCAGGCUGGUUAUGAUAUCUGAAUUACAGUAGGACAAAAAACAAGUAAAUAAUUCGUGUGGAAUUCUUGACUAAACCUAGCCUUUUGCCCAGGCUAGAAUUUUACAUCAUAGGGAUAUUUAGAAAUAUAUUUUCAACUUUGAUUUAUUCUUUCCAAUAACAUAGAAUACUGGUAGAAUAGCCAUAUUUAACUUCAUUAGGCAUAAACAAGUAGCAAUAUCUGUUGCUCUCCUCGUUAGUAUAGUGAUGAGUAUUCCCCGCCUGCCACGCGGGAGGCUGGGGCUCGAUUCCCCUAUGGGGAGUAUUUGGCCAAACUUUUAACCGUGAAUCUUUGUACAACUACAGCUUUCCUGAGCACAAGAGGAAUCUAGGUUCAAAUGGAAAACACCUUGGAAGUUAAGAACCAGGUGUCUGAUACUUGCCUCGUGUUUACAGUGAGAACCGACAAUGUAAAGCUGUGCGUUUUAGGCCCCAAACCUGAAGUUAAGACAACCGUGUGACCCAAGUGUGAUUUAUGCAGCGGCCUUGGUGACCUGAUCAAGUUCUCUAAUACCCGAAGUCUCCAGCAAAGCACUUGUAAAUGUACAUUUAAAAAAAAUGAAAAAAAGCUUUCGGAAUGGAAAACAACUACCAUAAAGCCGUAGGGAUCAAUACUGUGUGGUUUCUACUCAGGAAAAUCCACAGCUUGCCAAGAGGUGGAACCUUCCAAGGACAUCUCCGUACCCUAAGAAGUCGUGCACAGAUCGUACUUAAUGAAAGUACACUCCCACAAUUGUCCCUUCAAUUGGGGACUAGACAAAGAUUCCGGAACCCUCAAAGACCACCACGCAGUCUCAGACAUUGAGAUGAAGCCGUCUAUGUCCUGCUGGGUCCGCAGAGCAGUGGAGGAAGACCGGAGGCGGUGGAGACUAGGGACGCAGGUCCUGAGUUCAACUCCCAGCAACCACAUGGUGGC